This 1047-nucleotide long non-coding RNA is filed under the name Brassica napus (rape). RNAcentral describes it as "long non-coding RNA (BNAP_LNC019581)". The record is from RNAcentral. Lineage: Eukaryota; Viridiplantae; Streptophyta; Magnoliopsida; Brassicales; Brassicaceae.
UGAAAACGAUGCUUCUUAUGACCUGAUAAGGUCAAGAGAACAAUUAGUGAAGAAGAGAAAGGGCGCCAAAAUCAAUCCGCCGCCAUAUUGGGAUCUACAACUUCUGACCAUUGCAACUCUCCAUUGUUAUUCAUCUUGUUAAAUUCAUUGAUGAUAGGUAAGCACAACUUGGAUGAUGGACUAGUCACUUGGUUUGGUGUGACUUAUGCAUGUUUAUGUAUGACGUAUCUGCUGCUUGUACAUGGUAAUGAACUGCUUAGCUUUCUUCUAUUGUACAUGUCACUUUGUUAAAUUGCUCAAUGUAAUUAUCCUUCCUAUACGGGUUCCGUUAAUACAAUAUAUUACUUGUUCGGAUAUAGAUCUUAUAACUCUACAUAAGAUCUAUUUUGAAUCCAAACUCAAUUUAGGUUUUGUUAAUAAUACUUCAAGGAUUUUUAGAUAUCACCUCAAAAUUAACAUGAAAUUAAGGUCGAGUACCCGUUCAAGUUUAGAUAAUAUGCAUAACAUGAAAGACUGUCCUAUUAGAUCUAUUCAGGUACUUACAGAUCGGAUACUUUUGGUUCGGGUUUGGUUUUGAUCUCGAAUUCACUUACAAAUGCUCGAUGUUAAUUCUCCCUUAGCAUGUUUGUUUCAGUUGCGUUCAAUCUACGUAUAGGAGGUGAUGACAGAUACUUGUCUCUGUUGUUUAAGCAAGAAGAAUAGACUAUAGGUAAAAGAAGCAAAAUAAUAUUACAGAAUCUCUUGGAAUGGUUUGUGAUUGGACAUAGGGAGAAACAAGUCUUUGAAUAGGUAGCAAAGUAGAAAGCCAAGUGACCACUUCAGAAUAUGAGAAACUUUAUUCAUUACAUGUUCUGUGUUAUUGGUUUCUCUGGCUGUUUUGGUCUCUCUAUAACCUGGCCAAAGGACGUGUGGGGUGUCCCAUUCGGUGGUAAUGUGGUUACAGGUGAUUUCACUGAGAGUCCUGCAGCCACUUAGUGCCAUAUUGUCAGCUCAAACUCAUCGCGUAGCAUUUGAAGCACCUUUCUGACUCCAGCCUCUCCUUCAGCA